Eriocheir sinensis (Chinese mitten crab) is the source of this 2137-nucleotide long non-coding RNA. RefSeq lists it as uncharacterized. The transcript is spliced from 3 exons. The record is from RefSeq and is a predicted model, not a curated record. Lineage: Eukaryota; Metazoa; Arthropoda; Malacostraca; Decapoda; Varunidae.
AAAAAAAAGCAAAUUUUCGAAGGAAGUGUCGGGCAUUCGUUAUCCAAGACGAUCGCCUAAAACUUGUCCAUAAGCCGAACAGGAGAGAUUUAACAGGUGAGUAGUAUAUUCGUGUAGAAACGAAAAGCGAAAUGGUGUAAUGGCCUAUAGUUUAAUAUUUUUACAUAUGAUUGCAGAAGUUCGCUUCCUUCGGGUGAUUAAGGAUCGCCAAUACCAGCUCGACAUUGUGCUGGCCAGUCACCGAGGAGCUGACAGCGACGAAGCUGUUGCUUUGGGAGGCCACGUUGGUAGGGAUAAGGUCAUCGAUCGCAUAAUGCUUAGAUAUUGGCGCAACGUUACAUCUGAUGUAGUUGAAACCAUCAAAACUUGGUCACGGUGCCAAAAAGCCAGUACUUUGUUUAAGAAAGUUUACCCGAAACUGCACAGUAUCCCAAUUAAGCCUCGAAACAUGUACCAAAUUGGCAUAGACCUAUGUUCAUUGACAACGUGAGUUUGGUUUUACACAAAUUGUAUAUAAGUACAAUACUACUAUUGUUAUUUAUACUAUUUAUACUUUUAUGUAAGUUAAUUUUGGCAUGAUUUCAACUGUGUAUUUUUUGAGGUCCUCCAACGGUCAUGUCGCCAUUGUGAUGGCCGUUUGUUAUUUUUCCAAGUGGAUUGAGGCUCGCCCUUUAAAAUCGAAGGAAGCUGUAGAAGUGGCUCGGUUCCUGUACGAUGACAUUCUCUGUCGUCAUGGAUGUGUUGCCAUACAGAUCAAUGACCAGGACAGAGAGUUUGUGAACUCAGUCUCAGCAGAGCUCCACACGCUCACAGGAACAACGCAAAUAAUCACAUCUGCUUAUCAUCCUCAAGCCAAUGGAUUAGUCGAGCGCAGCAACCGAACAGUUCAAAAUCUUCUCCUUCGAACUCUGAGUGAUCGAUAUGAAAACUGGGACAAAUAUUUGCACGACGUCUUAUUUGCACUGAGGUAGGUAAUAUCAGGGUAAACCUGCGAGUUAUUGUCGAAACGUCUGUGUGUACUGUUAUUAGUUUUUGCAUUGCAUUGUUUCUUUUUAUAGAUCUACAGUCCAGGCCCCCACGAGGAUUUUACCAUUCAAGAUGUUAUAUGACCGAGAACCUGUCCUUCCCAUCGAUGUGGACCAUGAGUUCGCUGACUGCACCUCCGAUCCUGAAUUUGAGGAGUCUGACUUCCAUGCUACACUCUCAAAGCUCGAAAUAUUACAGGAUAUUGUUUUCAAGAAAGCUGAUACCAACAUUUAGCGACCUCAGGCAAAACAGCAAGCUGAUUUUGCAAAGAGGCGAUGCAAACAAAAGAAUUUCAUCGUGGGUGACAAGGUGUUGCGUUACAACCUCUGCAGAGCCAACAGAAAAGGAGGCAAGCAAACCGAUCCCAUGCGAGAAGGGGCUGUACUGUCUCAUUAAUUCAUCCACGAAAGUCACCCUCAAGACGAAAGUGAACGGAUGCAACCUGAAGCCCUUCUUCGAACGCACUCCAGAAACAUUACCACCGACUCCCUCAGUUACGUCAUCUCCGCCAUCUCCAAGUGUCCAAAUAGUCGGGGUUCUGCAAGAGGAGAUUACUUACAACUUCUCUCCAUUGACGGUUGCAACGCAGCGAGCAAUCUGCAACAACUCUGGUGGACGUCUGGUAAUCAAGAAAAUAUCAGGUCAUCCGGAAAAAAAAAUAAGACCUUCAAAAACACCAACGAACCUCUUGCCGUUAAAGCAAUUGAAGGUGACGGAAAUUGUCUUUUCCGUGCAUUGUCAUAUGCCAUGACUGGAGAAGAGGACCAACACGACGUUGUCAGAAGCUUGAUAUGUGAUUUCAUUGCCAGCACUGAAAACAACAAAGUUGAAUCAAUGCGUCAGAAUAAAGUGUGGGGAACAACAACAGAGAUGUUAGCAGCAGCCAACAUGUUCCAUGUGAAUGUAUGUGUGUGGGCAAAGUUCGGUUCUAUGCACACGUGGCAUAUACAUAGGCCGAAAUGCAGAAAAGUAGUAAACGAGUCAGUGUACCUCGACAAUAUAGCAGGCAACCGUUUUAAUGUAGUUAUUCGUGUGUAAUGUGCACAUGAUUAGUGAUUACUUUUUGGAUGGGAGACAACAUUAAUGUACUGUAGUGUGAUUACUGAUUAGU